GUUGAUAGGCCGGGUGUGUAAGCGCAGCGAUGCGUUGAGCUAACCGGUACUAAUGAACCGUGAGGCUUAACCUUA
RNAcentral lists this ribosomal RNA (75 nucleotides) under Kosakonia radicincitans. RNAcentral's name for it is "23S rRNA. Bacterial LSU". It matches the Rfam family "Bacterial large subunit ribosomal RNA", at positions 2852 to 2925 of the family's 2925-position model. The record is from RNAcentral. Lineage: Bacteria; Pseudomonadati; Pseudomonadota; Gammaproteobacteria; Enterobacterales; Enterobacteriaceae.